CUUGUUAAGAAAUCCCCCGAAAGGGUCACCAUAAAUUGGAAGCAACUUGAAGGCAUACAAGAAAAAAGAAAUAAUCUACUUUUCUCUUUCAUUUCUCAUCAAAGGAGAGAAUACUUCUGAAAUAUAGCCAUACAGUCUGGAAAACAUACAACAACCCUGUGAUCCCGGCCAUGAAAGCCUUCGUUCGACAACACAGGUCCUGGAAAAAUAGAGUCCCAUGGAGGUCAUCCCACGAUGCAUGGACACUUCUGGUGGCUGCCCAUGGGAAUUUUAUUUGUCAAAUAAAGUCACGCACCCUCAACAUCUCAGCUAAACAAGCUACGCAUUAGCAAAGCUCCAAUGUACAGGCCUCUUUUCAGUAGCAAUUCAUUCUGGUACUACCAGUUUUGUAGUUAGGGACCAAUUCAAAAAGUAACUGAUUACAUUUAUACUUCCAAUGCCCCUCAAAGCUAUUCGUUGCAAAAUACUUGCAACUUUUACAGGCAAUUCAUUAAUUUCUUACUUUUAAAAAUUAAAUAAAUUAGACUUCUUAAUUAUACUUUUGUUAUCAAGACCGCGAUUUAGCAGGGAUCUGCCCUGUGAGGGAGAUCCAAUCCGUCUCCCAGAAGAGGGAACGAACCUUGGCGAGCCGACCGAAAAGUAGGAAAUGAACCGGAUUAUAAUUUACCUGAGACCGAAAGGAAAAGCUCUGCCAAGUUGAAGGAAAAACCGUCAAAGUGUUUAUUAAAGCGAUUCAGCUGAACGGACAUCGAGCAGCGAUAGAUCGACAUGCAAGUUGUAACGAUACAUUGGAAAUAAAGCCAUUUUAUACACUUGCAAGUUUGAAGUCUAUUUGAACUUCCCGCCCCGUCCCUCCGCUCAUCUGGCUGCUGAUAGGUCGAGGGUGUCACACUAGGCGGGAGCUAGGCUUCCCGCUCUGCGCCUUAGCCAAUGAGGGACAACCUUCGCCUCUGCCAGGGCCAAUCAGGUUGGGGAAGGCGGGAAUCAGCUAGACAAUGGGUUCUGGUGAAUGAAUCAUUGGAGUU
Anolis carolinensis (green anole) is the source of this 1025-nucleotide long non-coding RNA. RefSeq lists it as uncharacterized. The transcript is spliced from 3 exons. The record is from RefSeq and is a predicted model, not a curated record. Lineage: Eukaryota; Metazoa; Chordata; Lepidosauria; Squamata; Anolidae.